GUUUGCUCGCGCGACGAUUUGUGGAUUUUCUGACGUCGUUUGCGUGGCUGCUCUGUUGGAGUUGUUGUUGAGUUUUUCUUUUCAAGUAAAAGAUGGAGAUCUUUAAUAACUUGUAGCAGCCUCCAUCAACUUAGUGACUGAAUUUAAACAGAGGUUCUAGUCCAGCAAGCAUUAUUGCAGCAUUAAUGAGUUCCUGAUUGGUGAAGUAUAGGGUGAUGGUGACAUGAAGGAAUGUGUUCCAGUUUUUUGGGCGUGGUUUAUUGAUGAAGCAUUCUGG
Molecule: long non-coding RNA, 277 nt
Filed under: Lathyrus oleraceus (garden pea)
Lineage: Eukaryota; Viridiplantae; Streptophyta; Magnoliopsida; Fabales; Fabaceae
Description: Pisum sativum (pea) long non-coding RNA (PSAT_LNC033501)
Source: RNAcentral